RNAcentral lists this unclassified non-coding RNA (429 nucleotides) under Seseli nudum. RNAcentral describes it as "partial external transcribed spacer". The record is from RNAcentral. Lineage: Eukaryota; Viridiplantae; Streptophyta; Magnoliopsida; Apiales; Apiaceae.
ACCAGGUAGCACUCCUCUUUGCUGCCGACACCGUAUGAGCACAGGACGGUUACCCGCCCUCGAGCCAACACGGGGCACGUCAGGCUUCCGUAAGGGACUAUUAUUUCGGGCAACAUGGGGACAAGGACCCCUUCCGAUCAUGUUUCUCCAUACAAGACUUCAAGCGACACUUGGGUGCCCGAUGCUCGCUUGCUAAAGUAGCAAAGCUAGGACGAACACCCAAGGAAACUUCACCGUCUACUUUGCACAAAACACUUGGCACAAGCUAGAGUAGGGGCUUUCGAACUGGAAGAUACCGUCAAAAUAGGUAUGCUACACAGGGGGCCUGGCCAACCCAAGGCAAAUGUUUAAGCACUCGGGUAGCAUUGAACAGGUGCAAACCAGCGAUUGUCGCUGCCAAGGCAGGGAACCAACCAACCGGAACAUACC